GAUGUUGAAGUCCCCUUUACCGCUUAUAUGCCAAUCUACCCUUCUAAAAUUAACAUGUCUUGGUGCAAGCUUUUCAAAUCUACCUGCACCUUUUUGCUGGGAAAAAUUGUAACCCCCCAAGCAUCAUAGGUAAGAAAUAAAUAUAGUAGAAAAAAUAACUCUGGAUUAGUUUUCCCUCACACUAACCUGAAGCAUAUACUCUCAACCCUUCUAAAUCCCCUAGAAAAAAUACCAGAAAAAAAUCACCGUCGUAUUUGUAAGCUUAAAUCCCAGAUAACACCUUCACCACAUACCCUCCUCCAUUUCAUACCCACUUUUACCUAGUCUCCACCGCCAACCAUCCCCAUUUCCUAUACCUACUCCUAACAAAACACCAUUUCUUCUUUCUCCCACACUACCAUCACUUUCUCCAUGGAACGUGAAAUUCCCCUACAAAUAUAUUCUUUCACAGUUCCAUUGUUAGCUCAAUGAAUAGAGAGAGAGAGAGA
Molecule: unclassified non-coding RNA, 488 nt
Filed under: Hevea brasiliensis (rubber tree)
Lineage: Eukaryota; Viridiplantae; Streptophyta; Magnoliopsida; Malpighiales; Euphorbiaceae
Source: RNAcentral